Non-coding RNA from Podarcis lilfordi (Lilford's wall lizard), 123 nucleotides. The record is from the annotation of a GenBank genome assembly. NCBI's taxonomy places the organism in Eukaryota, Metazoa, Chordata, Lepidosauria, Squamata, Lacertidae.
ACCUUAGAGACCAUCUAAGUUUGUUAUUGGUAUGAGCUUUUGUGUGCAUGCCAAUGGUAUCUGAAGAAGUGUGCAUGCACACAAAAGCUCAUACCAAUAACAAACUUAGUUGGUCUCUAAGGU